This is a ribosomal RNA of Cottoperca gobio, 119 nucleotides long. NCBI's taxonomy places the organism in Eukaryota, Metazoa, Chordata, Actinopteri, Perciformes, Bovichtidae. The record is from Ensembl.
AGAUACGGCCAUACCACACUGACAAUGCCAGAUCUCGUCUGAUCUCGGAAGCUAAGCAGAGUUGGGCUGGGUCAGUACUUGGAUGGGUGACUGCCUGGGAAUACCUGGUGCUGUAAGCA